UCAUUUCUCCUUAUGUUGUCGUUGUACCAUUGGGUAUUGUAUAGAGACCAAUUUCUAAGAGAUUUUUUCACCUCUGUUUCUGUUAUUUGCUAUACUGGAGGUAAUAUAAUAAUAAUGAAAUAUAGCUUUUUUUUUCAACUCAGAAAUCCUAUUCCCUCUCCCCAUCUGUGAUUAUAUUGUACUGGACUUCUGACUUGGUCAAAAGCAUAGGUUUUGACUUAGAUACAUGUGGGGGCAGAUCUCAGCUCUAUCACUAACUAGCUAUAUGAUAUUUGGCAAGUUUUUUCUCUAUGUGCAGUAGUUUCUUUAUCUGUAAAAUUAAGAUAAUAGCUACUUUACAGGGUUGGAAGAAUUAAUUUAGAAAUUGUACAGUGCUUAGCCUCAAUAAUUGGUAGGUGGUGGUGUAAAUAUUUUACAUAGAUACUUGUGACAGUUCUUUGUUCUACAAAACAGACUAAUAUUAAUUUCAGAUUGGCCAAGCUACUUAAUUUCUCUGUGCCUCAGUUUCCUCACUAUUAAAUGGGGAUGACAAUAGUGUCCACCUAGAGCAGGACUAUUUUAGUAUUACAUAUAAUCCUUGGAUAUAAAUGCUGAUGAAGUUUGGAUAUUUGUCCCCACCCAAGUCUCAUGUUGAAAUGUAAUCCCCAAUCUUGGAGGUGGAGCCUGGUGGGAGGUGUAUGGAUUAGAUCAGAUCUCUCAUGAAUGACUUGGGCCAUCCUUUGGGUGGUAAGUGAGCUCUUGCUCCGAGUUCACACGAGGUCUAGAUCUGGUCAUUUAAAAGUGUGUGGCAUCUCCCCAUCCCUCACUCUAUCACUUGCUCCUACUUUCGUCAUAUGACAUGCCUGCUCCCCUUUCACCUUCUGCCAUGAUUGUAAGCUUCCUGAGGCCUCCCUAGAAGCUGAGCAGAUGCCAGCACCAUGCUUCCUGUAGUCUGUAGAACCAUAAGCCAAAUAAACAUCUUUUCUUUAUAAAUUUAUAAAUUACCCAGUCGCAGAUAUUUAUAGAAAGAACAGCCUAAUACAGGUGCUAAAUACAUAUCUGACAAUAAAUGGUAGUUAUCUCUUAGAACUGUUAUGAGGAUUAAACGAGUUACAGUGUCCAUCUUAAAAAGAUAAUUCUGAAAAAAAUCUCAUAGGUUCACUUUGCCUUGUCAAGAAUAUGAUUACCAUUAACUUCUGUAGAUAGGAAAAAAAUGUGCUGAGCUCCAAAACUGACAGACAUUUUGCUAAAACAAUAUCAAAUCUCAUUAAAAUGAUGACAGUUAUUUCAAUAGUUGACAGUAGCUAUCCCAAUACAACCUAACAAGGCAUUUUCUCUUCAGAAUCACUCGAUCAUAUGGCCAUUUCCCUAAGCUUUUAUAGCUAUUGCCCAGUGUACACUGAAGACAACAGCUAACGAACAACAUACGUGUGAUAAUUUAUGUAGUUGAACCUCUAAGGCAAAAAAAAAAAAAAAAAGGAAAAAUUAGUGAAAAUCAUUCAAACAUUAUGCUCACCAGGUAGACUGCCAUCAUAGAAGUCCUAAUGCUACUGCUAAAAACUAGUAAACUACCAGUAAACUGUGAAGACAGAAGUAACUCCUGUGAUCUAUAUGUUUGUGCAGAUGGUGGAGCUUUUCUGCUCCUAAAGCCUGAGAAAUGCAAAUGUGGCUUCGUUAAUGCAAAUGCUUCCUACGCCAGACUUUAUGAAACUCCUCCUAAAGUUGAAUUCUUAUCCAAGUGGACAUAUGUUAGGGUGCCAUUGUAAUUCAGGUAGAGUGUCAGAGUGGUGGCUGGCACCAACGGUAGAUGUUCUCAACAUUAGCGUUAUUCAGGUAAGACUACAACAAUGAUGAACAUGUCAAAACUUUCCUUUAAAAGGAACAAUCAGAAAAACUCUUUAACAAAUGUUUUUCUUUCCGUAGUAUUUUAAUUAAAAUUUUUAAAAUUUUAAAAUUUACUAAAUUUAUGAACGUUUUUAUCCCACUUGAGAUGAAUACUUAUUUAUAGUCCCUGUCCCAUGAAGCUUCUGUGGAUUUGCUUUGUUUGUCAUUUGUGGUAUGUUUGAUAACAAAAAUAUUAGUGGCACAAAAGCAGUUAUAUUGAAUGCUUUUGUUUUAGAGAAAAUUUCACUCUGUACUAGAAAAUGUAGAUGAUGUGAGUCAAAGUUCAUUAAUAUUUACCUGAAAAUUUGUGUAUAAAGGUAACCUUGGGGCAGUUUAUUUUGCUUAGACCCCUCAGCUUCUUGAUAGAGUGAGGUGAGGGCAUAUGUAAGUCAGUAAACUAUUCUGUUAGUAAAGUCAAAGGCGUAAUCUAAAUUAAUUAUGCUUUUAACUAACACAGAAGAAAUCAUGUGACCUCAUUCUCAAAGCUCGUAACAUCCACCUGGCCAAUCUUAAGAUGUGGAUAGAGUUCUUUUUUUUCUUUUUUCAAUUUUUACAAUAAUUUUUGACACAUUGAAGCUGUGCAUGUUUAUGGGGGCACAAUUUGAUGUUUCAAUACAUGUAUAUGUUGUGUAAUGAUCAAAUCGGAGUACUUAGCAUAUCUAUCAUCUCGUGCAUUUAUCAUUUCUUUGUGGCGAGAACAUUUAAAAAUCCUAUUUUCUAGCUAUUUUGUAAUAUACACUACCUUACUGUUGCGAACCAUAGUCACCCUACUGUGCAAUAGAACACCUGAACUUAUUCCUCCUAUCUAGUUGUAACUUUGUACCCAUUGACCCCCCUUCCCUUCCUUCCACUCUCCCCUCCCCAGUCUCUGGUAACCACUGUUCUGUUCCCUAUGAGAUAAAACUUUUUUUGUCUUCCAU
RNAcentral lists this long non-coding RNA (2783 nucleotides) under Homo sapiens (human). RNAcentral describes it as "non-protein coding lnc-C4orf51-2:1". The record is from RNAcentral. Lineage: Eukaryota; Metazoa; Chordata; Mammalia; Primates; Hominidae.